Molecule: long non-coding RNA, 443 nt
Filed under: Actinidia chinensis (golden kiwifruit)
Lineage: Eukaryota; Viridiplantae; Streptophyta; Magnoliopsida; Ericales; Actinidiaceae
Description: long non-coding RNA (ACHI_LNC001619)
Source: RNAcentral
AAAAAAUUCAAAUAAGUUGGUUUCCAAACGGAGCCAUAGUGCAACUUUUUAUAUUAACGUAUACAAGUGGAUUGGGUAUACUAAUAACCGCGACUCUUGUACUUAAAAAGGUUAUUUUAGGUGAGAACAAGGCUUAGCCCAAAUGGUAAAGGGCAGUCUUACCAGGACUUAGGUCCUGGGAUCGAUUCUCACUCCCGCUCUCGGGUACAAGGCGCAGUCGUUUCAGGUAGACGUCAGGUACACGAGAUAACACUCGGAGGUAUCGCGUUCGAUUCCUGAUAGCAUGAAGAUUAGUUUGGAUGAACCUAAAAGCCUAUCUAGGACACUAUGGUUAAUAAUAAUUAAAAAAAAGUUAUUUUAGGUAAGUAGGCGUGUUGAGACCACGUGGAGAUGCGUACAACUUUACUUUGAGCAUGGGUGCGUGUCUCUUUCCUUGCCUUUCC